GGACAUUGUGCACGCUUGUCAUCUUUAUCAUUUCUCCAACUGUGCACGUAUUUGUAGACCUUGGAGGGGGGAAUGGAAUUCGUUCCGAGUGGGGACUGCUGUGCCUUCAAAAAAAAAAAGGUCGGCUUUCCCUUUGAAAGGUCUAUGUCAUUUUUUUCACAACCAAUGUGUUUAGAAUGUUGAAAAUAAAGAAAAGUUAAUAAAAAACAACUUUCAGCAACGGAUCUCUUGGCUCUCGCAUCGAUGAAGAACGCAGCGAAAUGCGAUAAGUAAUGUGAAUUGCAGAAUUCAGUGAAUCAUCGAAUCUUUGAACGCAUCUUGCGCUCCUUGGUAUUCCGAGGAGCAUGCCUGUUUGAGUGUCAUUUUAAACUCUCAAACCCCAUCAUUCAUUUGACGUGGCUUUGGACUUGGGGGCUUUUGCAGGCUUUUUAAUAAAAGGCCUGCUCCCCUGAAAUUCAUUAGUGGUACCUGGAGCGGAAACCGCUAGGUGUUGAUAACAUUCAUCUAUGCCUUUGGUUAUGCC
This 523-nucleotide small RNA is filed under the name Inocybe nitidiuscula. RNAcentral's name for it is "eukaryotic LSU rRNA". The stretch from base 209 to 362 matches the Rfam family "5.8S ribosomal RNA". Lineage: Eukaryota; Fungi; Basidiomycota; Agaricomycetes; Agaricales; Inocybaceae. The record is from RNAcentral.